UGAGUACGAGACGCUAAGGCGUCGAAGUAGUGGAUGUCAUACUUCCAAGAAAAGCUUGCACUGUCAUAAAUAAAAAUGCCUGUACCAUAACCGACACAGGUGGGUAAGUAGAGUAUACUAAGGGGCGCGAGAUAACUCUCUCUAAGGAACUCGGCAAAAUAACUCCGUAACUUCGGGAGAAGGAGUGCCUUAUUCUUAAGGUUGCAAUAACAAGAUCCAAGCAACUGUUUAUCAAAAACACAGGUCUCCGCUAAGUCGUAAGACGAUGUAUGGGGGCUGACGCCUGCCCAGUGCCAGAAGGUUAAAGAAGUCGGUUAGCAAUAGCAAAGCUGGUAACUGAAGCCCUGGUGAACGGCGGCCGUAACGAUAACGGUCCUAAGGUAGCGAAAUUCCUUGUCGGGUAAGUUCCGACCCGCACGAAAGGCGUAAUGAUUUGGAUGCUGUCUCGGAGAGGGGCUCGGUGAAAUAGACUUGUCUGUGAAGAUGCGGACUACCUGCACCAGGACAGAAAGACCCUAUGAAGCUUUACUGUAACUUGAAAUUAAAAUUGGACUUUAUUCGCGCAGUAUAGGUGGGAGGCGUUGAUUAUAAUCUUGUGGGAUUAUUGGAGCCAUCAGUGAGAUACCACUCUUGUAAUGUUAGAUUUCUAACUUUGAAUCAUUAUCUGGUCAAAGGACAGUUUCAGGCGGGCAGUUUGACUGGGGCGGUCGCCUCCUAAACGGUAACGGAGGCGUACAAAGGUUUCCUCUGAACGGUUAGAAAUCGUAUCUAGAGUGUAAAGGCAUAAGGAAGCUUGACUGUGAGACCUACAAGUCGAGCAGGGACGAAAGUCGGUCUUAGUGAUCUGACGGUACUGAGUGGAAAGGCCGUCACUCAACGGAUAAAAGUUACUCUAGGAUAACAGGCUGAUCUCCCCCAAGAGUUCACAUCGACGGGGAGGUUUGGCACCUCGAUGUCGGCUCAUCGCAUCCUGGGGCGGUAGUACGUCCCAAGGGUUGGGCUGUUCGCCCAUGAAGCGGUACGCGAGCUGGGUUCAGAACGUCGUGAGACAGUUCGGUCCAUAUCCGGUGUAGGCGCUAGAAUAUUGAGAGGAGCCUUCUUUAGUACGAGAGGACCGAGAAGGACAUACCUCUGGUGUACCAGUUAUCGUGCCAACGGUAAACGCUGGGUAGCUAUGUAUGGAGUGGAUAACCGCUGAAAGCAUCUAAGUGGGAAGCCCACCUCAAGAUAAGUAUUCUCAUCACGUAAGUGAGUAAGGUCAAGGUAAGACUAACCGUUUGAUAGGCAUUAGGUGUAGGUACAGUAAUGUAUGUGCUGAGAUGUCCUAAUAGACCGAGGACUU
RNAcentral lists this ribosomal RNA (1342 nucleotides) under metagenome. RNAcentral's name for it is "bacterial LSU rRNA". It matches the Rfam family "Bacterial large subunit ribosomal RNA", at positions 1564 to 2925 of the family's 2925-position model. The record is from RNAcentral.